AAGUCGUAACAAGGUAUCCGUAGGUGAACCUGCGGAUGGAUCAUUAUCAAAACGUUAUCCACGUAUAAACCAAUCUUAUCGUGAACUGUUUGUAUGCCUUUCGAAGUAGAGGAGGAACGGGGCCUUUCGGGGACCUUACUACUCUUUGAAACGAAAGCGUAUAAUUACUUCAUAACAUUAACCAAUUGAACCAUUUCUAAAUGAAAUUGUUUUUUAUCUUCUUUGUGUGAACUGAAUUGUUUCUUACUCGUAAUUCAUUUUAUGAGAAGAAAUCUAUUUACGAAACAAAGUAAAAAAGAACAACUCUUAGCAACGGAUAUCUUGGUUCUC
RNAcentral lists this unclassified non-coding RNA (330 nucleotides) under fungal sp. Its description in RNAcentral is "partial internal transcribed spacer region". The stretch from base 1 to 46 matches the Rfam family "Eukaryotic small subunit ribosomal RNA", at positions 1786 to 1831 of the family's 1831-position model. Lineage: Eukaryota; Fungi. The record is from RNAcentral.